AUGGAGCUGGGAGCUAGGCAAAGGGCUUCCACAGGCUCAAGCAGUAUUAUUUACCUCACUACUAUAGGAGCGCCAAGACUUACGCUGCGUUUGCAAAGCUUUUUGGUCACAGCUGUACUGCUGACGAAGGCAUUAUUUGCACUGGUGUGGCAAACAUCUGAACAAGACCAAACUACCAGCAGCAGAAUAAAACACAAAGGGUGUGGAGUUCGGGCGGUACGAAGACGUAAUUUCUGCUUCAUGAACACACUUACAGAAAGAGGAAAGAUUUCUGGGAAGUAAGUGUGUUUAAACAGAAAAUAAACUUCAAAGGAUAUCAUAAAAAAGGGAGGGU
This 334-nucleotide long non-coding RNA is filed under the name Phasianus colchicus (ring-necked pheasant). RNAcentral's name for it is "lncRNA (ENSPCLG00000001931.1)". Lineage: Eukaryota; Metazoa; Chordata; Aves; Galliformes; Phasianidae. The record is from RNAcentral.